Molecule: unclassified non-coding RNA, 359 nt
Filed under: uncultured Roseiflexaceae bacterium
Lineage: Bacteria; Bacillati; Chloroflexota; Chloroflexia; Chloroflexales; Roseiflexaceae
Description: contains 16S-23S intergenic spacer region
Source: RNAcentral
UCCCCGAGGGGCAGUCUCGCCAGACACGAAUAACUGGCGACGAGGGUUGCGCUCGUUGCGGGACUUAACCCAACAUCUCACGACACGAGCUGACGACAGCCAUGCAGCACCGGUGGCACACCCUCGAAGGCGACCCGUUUUCACGGGCUUGCAGUGCCAUGUCAAACCUAGGUGAGGUUCUUCGCGUUGCGUCGAAUUAAACCACACGCUCCGCUGCUUGUGCGGGUCCCCGUCAAUUCCUUUGAGUUUUAAGCUUGCGCUCGUACUUCCCAGGCGGAUGACUUAUCGCGUUAGCUGUGACCCCCAGGGAGUGUUACCCCCCCAAAGGCCGAGUCAUCAUCGUUUACGGCGUGGACUAC